RNAcentral lists this long non-coding RNA (291 nucleotides) under Helianthus annuus (common sunflower). RNAcentral's name for it is "sRNA HanXRQr2_Chr15g0684581". Lineage: Eukaryota; Viridiplantae; Streptophyta; Magnoliopsida; Asterales; Asteraceae. The record is from RNAcentral.
UAGAGCUUAUGAAUUAGCAGCCCUCAAGUAUUGGGGUCCCACCACCACCACAAACUAUCCGGUUUGCAACUAUGAGAAAGAGCUUGAAGAAAUGAACAACAUGACUAGGCAAGAAAUAUGGAUUAAACUGCCAAUAAUGGUUUUAGAUUAAGAAAACCGAACCGACCAGGUUGGUAAUUGGUUGGGCUGCCAGUCACUAUCACAAUGCAGUGUCCUCUUUAUUCUUUGGUUCAAUCCAUGUGCACAACUCACUAUCACUUGUUCUUUUCAUUUGUGGAUUUCUGCCUUUGA